CCUACGGGUGGCUGCAGUGGGGAAUUUUGGACAAUGGGCGAAAGCCUGAUCCAGCCAUGCCGCGUGAGUGAAGAAGGCCUUCGGGUUGUAAAGCUCUUUCGCAAGGAAAGAAAACUUAGCUACUAAUACUAGUUGAGGAUGACGGUACCUUGAUAAGAAGCACCGGCUAACUACGUGCCAGCAGCCGCGGUAAUACGUAGGGUGCGAGCGUUGAUCGGAAUUACUGGGGGUAGAGCUUGCACAGGGAUGUGAAAUCCCCGGGCUCAACCUGGGAACUGCGUUUGAAACUACAAGGCUAGAGUGUAGAAGAGGGGGGUAGAAUUCCACGUGUAGCAGUGAAAUGCGUAGAGAUGUGGAGGAAUACCGAUGGCGAAGGCAGCCCCCUGGGCUAACACUGACGCUCAUGCACGAAAGCGUGGGGAGCAAACAGGAUUAGAUACCCCUGUAGUC
RNAcentral lists this ribosomal RNA (450 nucleotides) under uncultured bacterium. RNAcentral describes it as "partial 16S ribosomal RNA". It matches the Rfam family "Bacterial small subunit ribosomal RNA", at positions 338 to 795 of the family's 1533-position model. The record is from RNAcentral.